Long non-coding RNA from Lagenorhynchus albirostris (white-beaked dolphin), 712 nucleotides. RefSeq lists it as uncharacterized. The record is from RefSeq and is a predicted model, not a curated record. Lineage: Eukaryota; Metazoa; Chordata; Mammalia; Artiodactyla; Delphinidae. The transcript has 3 exons.
UUCCGGGGUUAGGGAGGGAGGCGAGCCGCAGACGGAUUCUGUGUUAGGACCGCGGCGAUCUAGGCCCUUCCCCGCGUGACGGAGACGGAGGCGCGAGGGGACACUGUCAUCUACCCCCCUUCUGGCCUAAUGGCCCCUUCCGACGCGCGGACCCCCGCUCCCGGGAUCGCUCCCUCCGGAGCCCAGUUGGGCUGGCCGGGGGCGGCAAUUUGGUCUGAUCUUCGUCUUAUUAAUUCGGAGCGACUGUGGGGAGGCCACUGAGAGAGGAGGCGGCCCCAGCGGAGGAGGCUUUGUGAUUCCUUGCUCCCUCCCGUCCUCCUGUCUCGAACCCACCUGCCCACCCACUACUCAGGACGCCGCUCUUUCGCGGGUUUUAUGCUGGAUGGAGGGGGCGCCGCCGAGGAAGCCAAGCCUCCCCCGCUAACUCUGCCUCUCCACGUCUUCAGGAAGAAGUUAUUCGUUCCAUGAAUUUAUUUAUCGAGUACACCCUUACACUAAGCACAGGGUGAGACUCUGGGAUUCAGACCUAAACAUAGACUCUUGGAGUAGUUUGAGGGAACAGUUUCACCACAGACACCACAUUCCAAUUCCUUGAGGGCUUGAAUUCUUGAAUACUCCAGACAAAAGUUUCCAGAAGACCGGGGACGGGCAGGCCAGGCCCUUUACUCCUGAGGAGAGGCCGUUCUAAGUGGUACAGCGGAGGUAUUAGCUA